UACAGAGGUCCCGAGCGUUUGUUCGGAUUCACUGGGCGUAAAGGGUGCGUAGGCGGCCAACUAAGUCAGACGUGAAAUCCCCAGGCUCAACCUGGGAACUGCGUCUGAUACUGGAUGGCUUGAAUCCGGGAGAGGGAUGCAGAAUUCCAGGUGUAGCGGUGAAAUGCGUAGAUAUCUGGAGGAAUACCGGUGGCGAAGGCGCAUCCUGGACCGGCAUUGACGCUGAGGAGCGAAAGCCAGGGAGCAAAGCGGG
RNAcentral lists this ribosomal RNA (253 nucleotides) under uncultured bacterium. Its description in RNAcentral is "partial 16S ribosomal RNA". It matches the Rfam family "Bacterial small subunit ribosomal RNA", at positions 524 to 777 of the family's 1533-position model. The record is from RNAcentral.